Molecule: ribosomal RNA, 510 nt
Filed under: Burkholderia pseudomallei
Lineage: Bacteria; Pseudomonadati; Pseudomonadota; Betaproteobacteria; Burkholderiales; Burkholderiaceae
Description: bacterial SSU rRNA
Rfam family: Bacterial small subunit ribosomal RNA
Source: RNAcentral
GGGGACAAAGUGACAGGUGAUGCAUGGUUGUCGUCAGCUCGUGUCGUGAGAUGUUGGGUUAAGUCCCGCAACGAGCGCAACCCUUAAGCUUAGUUGCCAUCAUUAAGUUGGGCACUCUAAGUUGACUGCCGGUGACAAACCGGAGGAAGGUGGGGAUGACGUCAAAUCAUCAUGCCCCUUAUGAUUUGGGCUACACACGUGCUACAAUGGACAAUACAAAGGGCAGCGAAACCGCGAGGUCAAGCAAAUCCCAUAAAGUUGUUCUCAGUUCGGAUUGUAGUCUGCAACUCGACUACAUGAAGCUGGAAUCGCUAGUAAUUGUAGAUCAGCAUGCUACGGUGAAUACGUUCCCGGGUCUUGUACACACCGCCCGUCACACCACGAGAGUUUGUAACACCCGAAGCCGGUGGAGUAACCAUUUGGAGCUAGCCGUCGAAGGUGGGACAAAUGAUUGGGGUGAAGUCGGAACAAGGUAGCCGUAUCGGAAGGUGCGGCUGGAUCACCUCCUUU